This 481-nucleotide ribosomal RNA is filed under the name uncultured bacterium. Its description in RNAcentral is "partial 16S ribosomal RNA". It matches the Rfam family "Bacterial small subunit ribosomal RNA", at positions 28 to 507 of the family's 1533-position model. The record is from RNAcentral.
GAUGAACGCUGGCGGCGUGCUUAACACAUGCCAGUCGAACGAAGCAUUUGCGACAGAUUUUUUCGGAAUGAAGUUGCUUAUGACUGAGUGGCGGACGGGUGAGUAACGCGUGGGUAACCUGCCUUGUACUGGGGGAUAGCAGCUGGAAACGGCUGGUAAUACCGCAUAAGCGCACAAUGUUGCAUGACAUGGUGUGAAAAACUCCGGUGGUAUAAGAUGGACCUGCUUCUGAUUAGCUAGUUGGUGAGAUAACAGCCCACCAAGGCGACGAUCAGUGGCCGACCUGAGAGGGUGACCCGCCACAUUGGGGAUGAGACACGGCCCAGACUCCUACGGGAGGCAGCAGAGGGGAAUAUUGCACAAUGGAGGAAACUCUGAUGAAGCGACGCCGGGGGAGUGAAGAAGUAAUUCGUGAUGUAAAGCUCUAUCAGCAGGGAAGAUAGUGACGGUACCUGACUAAGAAGCGCCGGCUAAAUACGUG